This 561-nucleotide ribosomal RNA is filed under the name Baseodiscus quinquelineatus. RNAcentral's name for it is "partial 16S ribosomal RNA". It matches the Rfam family "Bacterial large subunit ribosomal RNA", at positions 1796 to 2619 of the family's 2925-position model. The record is from RNAcentral. Lineage: Eukaryota; Metazoa; Nemertea; Pilidiophora; Heteronemertea; Baseodiscidae.
CCGCCUGUUUAUCCAAAAACAUCGCCUAUUGGGUUUUGUUUUGUUUUAUAAUAGGUGUUUUCUGCCCGGUGAAAUUUUUAACGGCCGCGGUACUUUGACCGUGCAAAGGUAGCAUAAUCAUUUGCUUCUUAAUUGGGGGCUUGUAUGAAAGAAAGAACGAAUGUCUGGCUGUCUCCUUUUGAGUAAAGAAUUUUCUUUUGUUGUGAAGAAGCAACAAUGCUAAAAAAAGACAAGAAGACCCUAUCGAGCUUUACUCUAGAGAUUAAAAGGGAUGCAGAAUAUUUGACUUAUACUGCAUAAAGUUUUAUGAGUUUCGUUGGGGUGACGAAAAAAGAGGAAAUCUUUUUUAGUAGUAAAACUUAUCUUGUUGAAGAAGGAGCGGUUUUUAGCCAUUGUUGGAAGAAGUUACCGUAGGGAUAACAGCGUAAUUUUUUUAGAGAGUUCAAAUCGAAAAAAAAGAUUGCGACCUCGAUGUUGACUUGUCAUCUCCUUUCGGUGCAGCUGCUGAAAGGGUUGGUCUGUUCGACCAUUAAAAUGGCACGUGAUCUGAGUUCAGACCGG